GACGAACGCUGGCGGCGUGCUUAACACAUGCAAGUCGAACGGAAAGGCCCCUUUGGGGGUACUCGAGUGGCGAACGGGUGAGUAACACGUGAGUAACCUGCCCUUGACUUCGGGAUAACUUCAGGAAACUGGGGCUAAUACCGGAUAGGAAUCCUUGCUGCAUGGUGGGGGUUGGAAAGCGUCGGGGGUUUUGGUUGGAUUCGCGGCUUAUCAGCUUGUUGGUGGGGUAGUGGCUUACCAAGGCUUUGACGGGUAGCCGGCCUGAGAGGGUGACAGGCCACAUUGGGACCGAGAUGAGGCCCAGACGCCUACGGGAGGCAGCAGGGGGGAAUAUUGCACAAGGGGCGGAGGCCGGAUGCAGAAACGCCGCGUGCGGGAUGACGGCCUUAGGGUUGUAAACCGCUUUCAGCAGGGGCGAAGCUUGUGGUGACGGUACCUGCAGAAGAAGCACCGGCUAACUACGUG
This 465-nucleotide ribosomal RNA is filed under the name uncultured bacterium. RNAcentral describes it as "partial 16S ribosomal RNA". It matches the Rfam family "Bacterial small subunit ribosomal RNA", at positions 28 to 507 of the family's 1533-position model. The record is from RNAcentral.